Molecule: ribosomal RNA, 467 nt
Filed under: uncultured bacterium
Lineage: Bacteria
Description: bacterial SSU rRNA
Rfam family: Bacterial small subunit ribosomal RNA
Source: RNAcentral
AUUGAACGCUGGCGGCAUGCUUUACACAUGCAAGUCGAACGGUAACAGGUCUUCGGAUGCUGACGAGUGGCGAACGGGUGAGUAAUGCAUCGGAACGUGCCCAGUCGUGGGGGAUAACGCAGCGAAAGCUGUGCUAAUACCGCAUACGAUCUAUGGAUGAAAGCGGGGGAUCGCAAGACCUCGCGCGAUUGGAGCGGCCGAUGUCAGAUUAGCUAGUUGGUGGGGUAAAGGCCCACCAAGGCGACGAUCUGUAGCUGGUCUGAGAGGACGACCAGCCACACUGGGACUGAGACACGGCCCAGACUCCUACGGGAGGCAGCAGUGGGGAAUAUUGGACAAUGGGCGAAAGCCUGAUCCAGCAAUGCCGCGUGAGUGAUGAAGGCCUAGGGUUGUAAAGCUCUUUUACCAGGGAUGAUAAUGACAGUACCUGGAGAAUAAGCUCCGGCUAACUCCGUGCCAGCAGCCGC